GGUUUUUUGAAUAUAAUUUAAGAUUAGUUCUGCUCAAUGAUUUGAAAUUAAAUAGCCGCAGUAUUUUGACUGUGCUAAGGUAGCAUAAUCAAUUGUUUUUUAAUUAAGAACUGGAAUGAAGGAAUUGAUGAGAUUAAGACUGUCUAAUAUAAAAUGUUAAAAUUUAAAUUUUAAGUAAUAAUUCUUAAAUAAAGUUAUGGGACGAGAAGACCCUAUAGAAUUUGAUAUAAUUUUUUAAAAUAAAAUAAGAUUUAAUAAAAUUAAUAUUUUAUUGGGAGGAUAAUUAAAUUAAAUUAACUUUAAAAUUAAAAUUAAACAUUAAUUUAUGAAUAGUUGAAUAAUUUUAUAAUAAUAAUUAAAAUUAAUUAAAAAUUAAUUACCUUAGGGAUAACAGCGUAAUAUUUUUAAAAAGAUCAUAUUGAUAAAAGUGUUUGCGACCUCGAUGUUGAAUUAAAAUAAAAAUUAAAUGAAGAAGUUUAAUAUUUUA
RNAcentral lists this ribosomal RNA (487 nucleotides) under Lasius balearicus. RNAcentral describes it as "partial 16S ribosomal RNA". Lineage: Eukaryota; Metazoa; Arthropoda; Insecta; Hymenoptera; Formicidae. The record is from RNAcentral.